GACGAACGCUGGCGGCGUGCCUAAUACGUGCAAGUAGAACGCACAGUUUAUACCGUAGCUUGCUACACCAUAGACUGUGAGUUGCGAACGGGUGAGUAACGCGUAGGUAACCUGCCUGGUAGCGGGGGAUAACUAUUGGAAACGAUAGCUAAUACCGCAUAAUAUUGAUUAUUGCAUGAUAAUUGAUUGAAAGAUGCUAUUGCAUCACUACCAGAUGGACCUGCGUUGUAUUAGCUAGUAGGUGAGGUAACGGCUCACCUAGGCGACGAUACAUAGCCGACCUGAGAGGGUGAUCGGCCACACUGGGACUGAGACACGGCCCAGACUCCUACGGGAGGCAGCAGUAGGGAAUCUUCGGCAAUGGACGAAAGUCUGACCGAGCAACGCCGCGUGAGUGAAGAAGGUUUUCGGAUCGUAAAGCUCUGUUGUAAGAGAAGAACGGGUGUGAGAGUGGAAAGUUCACACUGUGACGGUAUCUUACCAGAAAGGGACGGCUAACUACGUG
RNAcentral lists this ribosomal RNA (505 nucleotides) under uncultured bacterium. RNAcentral describes it as "partial 16S ribosomal RNA". It matches the Rfam family "Bacterial small subunit ribosomal RNA", at positions 28 to 507 of the family's 1533-position model. The record is from RNAcentral.